This 61-nucleotide transfer RNA is filed under the name Sepedophilus bipunctatus. RNAcentral describes it as "tRNA-Ser". The record is from RNAcentral. Lineage: Eukaryota; Metazoa; Arthropoda; Insecta; Coleoptera; Staphylinidae.
GAAAUAUUUAUUGUUAAGCUUCUAACUUAAUUAUUAGCGAAAAAAUUUCGUUAAUAUUUCU